UCCCUAAGGCGAGGCUGAAAAGCGUAGUCGAUGGGAAACAGGUUAAUAUUCCUGUACUUCUGGUUACUGCGAUGGAGGGACGGAGAAGGCUAGGCCAGCUUGGCGUUGGUUGU
RNAcentral lists this ribosomal RNA (113 nucleotides) under Pseudomonas aeruginosa. RNAcentral's name for it is "partial 23S ribosomal RNA". It matches the Rfam family "Bacterial large subunit ribosomal RNA", at positions 1390 to 1505 of the family's 2925-position model. The record is from RNAcentral. Lineage: Bacteria; Pseudomonadati; Pseudomonadota; Gammaproteobacteria; Pseudomonadales; Pseudomonadaceae.